This 598-nucleotide small RNA is filed under the name Pan troglodytes (chimpanzee). RNAcentral describes it as "processed transcript". The record is from RNAcentral. Lineage: Eukaryota; Metazoa; Chordata; Mammalia; Primates; Hominidae.
GGCCGAGCGCGUCGCACCCGCGUCCCUGCGCCGUGCCUGCCUCGCGCUCCCUGUUACGGCGUUCGUCCCCGGGCCUGGCGCCCGCGUCCGGCCCGGCUCCGCGGCGGCCUGGUCCGAUGGCGCCUCAGCGGAGGGCCGCAAGCAAGGCGCCCGAGGGCAACGGAGCGGCCGAGCGCCGGAACCGGAGCAGGUAGCGCACCAAGAAGGACCGAGCCCCGCGGGAGGUGCAGAGGCUGUGGCAGAGGCCGUGGCUAAGGACCGCGGGCCUGGGGGCCGGCCUUGUGCUCACCGCACUCCUGCUCUGGAGCAGCUUGGGGGCCGACGACGGGGUCGCAGAGGUCCUGGCCCGCCGUGGCGAGGUCGUGGCAGGGAGAUUCAUCGAGGUGCCCUGCUCUGAGGACUACGACAGUCACCGCAGGCUGCACUCCCCGAAAGUGCGGCAGAGGUGUCACCGAUGUUGUCAUCACCAGGGAGGAAGCGGAGCGGAUUCGCAGCAUAGCUGAAAAGGGGCUCUCCCUGGGAGGAUCUGACGGAGGGGCAUCCAUUCUGGACUUGCACUCAGGGGCCCUGUCUGUCGGGAAGCACUUUGUGAACCUGU